Molecule: ribosomal RNA, 490 nt
Filed under: uncultured bacterium
Lineage: Bacteria
Description: partial 16S ribosomal RNA
Rfam family: Bacterial small subunit ribosomal RNA
Source: RNAcentral
GAUGAACGCUAGCUACAGGCUUAACACAUGCAAGUCGCAGGGUAACAUGAGGAAAGCUUGCUUUCCUUGAUGACGACUGGCGCACGGGUGAGUAACGCGUAUCCAACCUUCCCAUAACUACGGGAUAACCCGUUGAAAGACGGCCUAAGACCGUAUGAUAUCGUUUGCUGACAUCAAAUAACGAUUAAAGGUUUAGCGGUUAUGGAUGGGGAUGCGUCUGAUUAGCUUGUUGGCGGGGUAACGGCCCACCAAGGCGACGAUCAGUAGGGGUUCUGAGAGGAAUGUCACCCAGAUUGGAACUGUGACACGGGCCAGACUCCUACGGGAGGCAGCAGUGAUGAAUAUUGGGCAAUGGGCGAGAGCCUGAACCAGCCAAGUAGCGUGCAGGACGACGGCCCUAUGGGUUGUAAACUGCUUUUAUGUGGGGAUAAAGUGCGUGACGUGUCAUGCAUUGCAGGUACCACAUGAAUAAGGACCGGCUAAUUCCGUG